AUAGUCAGUGAAGUAGAACAUAACUACACAAAGCAGUAGCAUGCACCAGUGGAGUCACCUUGCUGGAUGGACCUCCCUCCAAGAACAACUGCUGAUCAUUAUUCAUCUAGACCCCCCUCUGGUCCCUUGUACCAUUGGCUCCAACAGCGCCUGAUCCCCUGGUUGCCCUUUCCACAGGUAUUGCUAAAGCAAAUAGCACAGGGUAUUUACUAGGUGUGCAAUGCUCUAAAUCAUAUUAAUCUACCCAAUAAAGCAUUUACAGCCAGUAAAAAUUCCACAGUGGCGCAGUCGAUCUGUAAGAAGGAUGAAUGGUGGAAAACAAAGUCAGGGCUGGCCCAGUCUCAGCCCCAGACAGAUUGUCUGAAGUCCUGGGAAAGGAAUAGAGGGAAUGGGGAGAGGAAGCAGCAAGCACCUGGACUUCAUCUGGGCAACAGAAAACACUGUUUCACCUGGGAUGCCAAAGAUGCCAGCAAGCAAGCAUGAGGCAGAAGAACCAUGGAUAAUGGAGCAGUGGGCCUAGAAGAAACUUCAGGAGAUUUGGCAUGAAGGGAAGAGGGAGUAUCCUGCUUCUGAACAGCUUUCAUGAGGCCAUCACCUAACCAGUUUUGACUUACCAGAACCUGAUGUGGUGGCAAAAUGGAAUCUUGACAAGAAUGGCAACAGGACCACCAAGAUAUGUCCCUUUUACACUGCCAUAUAGGAUCUAAAUCAUCUGCUUUUUAUUGUAUUAUAUGGCUGUGUAGAUUCAGAAACUUCAGUUCAAAUCUGAUAAUGUGGAUUAUCUGCUUUGAUAAUCUGGAUUAUAUAGCAGCUGUAGAUAGCAUCCCUAUUGUCACAGAGAUUGGUAGCAUAAAUAGUGGGACCCAUUCUAAUUCAGAACCAGAUCAAAUAUUUACAUGACCCCCAAGUGCAAGAGCAUUUCCCAACUUUGUCUAACAUAGGGCAAAACCAUGUUAAACAGCCUUGG
Long non-coding RNA from Anolis carolinensis (green anole), 967 nucleotides. RefSeq lists it as uncharacterized. Lineage: Eukaryota; Metazoa; Chordata; Lepidosauria; Squamata; Anolidae. The transcript has 3 exons. The record is from RefSeq and is a predicted model, not a curated record.